This is a long non-coding RNA of Scylla paramamosain (green mud crab), 587 nucleotides long. RefSeq lists it as uncharacterized. The transcript is spliced from 4 exons. Lineage: Eukaryota; Metazoa; Arthropoda; Malacostraca; Decapoda; Portunidae. The record is from RefSeq and is a predicted model, not a curated record.
GAGAGGAACGAAGGGGAAGCAGAUGGAGGAGAUCCACUCACGGGAUUCUGCGUUGUUGAUUUGUGUGUGGAAGUAUCGUGGGUUUUGCCUGCCUCCAUUGUUGCUCGUCUGCUGAAAUAAGUUGUACCCCAGCAGGCCCCUCUUCAGGUCCAGCGGGGUUCUCUGGUAUGUCGUGGUGGAAGAGUUGGUAGCCCUGCACAUGUCCAUCCGAGAAUUACGUCACAGGUGGGCACAAGCCGCAGUCAUUCGCCGGCGCCUCCCUGCAGUCUCAGGUAGCAGCGGCGAUGCGUAGUGCUGUUGCUUUGUAUUGAGUGAGCGUGAAUGAACCCUCGUGACGAUAUAUGGUGAUGGACGUGUGGGCCUUUACGUUGUGGAAACAGAAGUUGAGGGGCGGGGAACACUUAAUGGGUGGAUGACCACUAUCAGGGCCGCCAUUCCACCGCAUUCAUGGCCACCCUACCCGCGCUCAUCCAGUCACGUCCCCUUAGUGCAGCGCCCCUCAUCUGUAUGUAUGCUGAAGAGACACGGAAAAAUGAACACUCAUGUCUCUGUGAAAUAUUGUGCGCCAUAAAGUCUCUUGUCCUCUA